CUAUUUCUGAAAUUCCUUUGUAGUAAAACAGCUACUUUAUACAAGCUACCUUAUACAAGAUCUCAAAGUAGCUGUUUUACUACAAAGGAAUUUCAGAAAUAGACUGGA
Non-coding RNA from Podarcis lilfordi (Lilford's wall lizard), 108 nucleotides. The record is from the annotation of a GenBank genome assembly. NCBI's taxonomy places the organism in Eukaryota, Metazoa, Chordata, Lepidosauria, Squamata, Lacertidae.